AGGGGUGUGUGUCUCUGGUUCUUACCUUGGUAUAAAAAUCGUGGGACAGUGGGGGUUUCCUCUGAUUACGCUGCUUUUCCCUCACUCACAGUGUUCUCAUUCUAAUGUUCUUUCGACUAUUUUUGACACCCAUAUUGAAAAAAAAAUCAACGUACAAAUCACUGCUCAUAAGCGGUAUCAGAUGACCUUUUAUCAUUAAAAACCCUUUUUUACUUUACUUUAAGAAUUUGAUAUCUAAGUUGUUGUUUUUUUUUGGGGGGGGGGGGGGGGGGGUUUGUUAUUGUUUCUUUUUUGUAGUCAUUCCCUCAUCUUUUUUUUUCUGCGGAGGAAUUGCCUUUACCAACCUCUGGACGACAUAUCUGGAAAGUGACUGAGUGGAAUAUGGAAGCAAAAGGACAAGAAAGACAGAAAAGAGUAAGAAAUAAUUAAGUUUACUUUUUAAAAGCUCCCCCUUCAACUGUUCUUUUUUAUUUUUCUGUUUUUUUCCUCUUCCAAACAUUGCACCUCUGCGUUUCUGCAUUUCCUUCUUUCAGUUCUUUUUCCCUUCUUUUUUGUUUUCCCAUUUCCUUUUACUUUACCUUCCUGUCUUUCAUUUUCCUGCCUUUUCCUUUCUACCUUCCAAAUCCUUCCUUCAUUCUUCUCUAUUUCAUUUUACUCUUUACGUUAUUUUCCCUCAAUUCCUUGCGCACUGCCUCUCUUUACUCCCGCUCUUUCGCUCUCCCAACCCCUCCCUCUCCCUGUCCCUCUUCCCGAUUUGUCCUUCAGCUCUGUCAGCACUCACUAUCUCUCUCCAUCUCCUUCUCUGGUAGUCUGAUCAGCUGUCUUCCUUCUAACUUUACAUGGCCUGGUGUGGUGCGCAAGGACGGGCAGCUGCCGGCUGACGCAUUUCACUGCCCAGUCAUCACUUCAAAAUCGAAUCCUCUUACACAAACCUCUAUGGUUUUCUUUUAUGGCCACUAUUUUUACUCUCAAUUCUACAUGCAUGUCUUUUUUUUUAUUCUUGGUCUGCCUGUUUUUCCCCUCCUCCUUUUGCAUCCAGCAAUGAGAGAGAGAGAGAGAUAGUCACAAGUCCCAUGACCCCCUUCUUCUUUUCUCUCCUCUCCUUUCACUCCUUCUUUCCUUCUCCUCCUCCUCCUCCUCCUCCUCCCCUUUUCCUCUCCGCAUCCUUAAACUCUCCAUCGCUGAUUCAGCUCCCAGGGAGGCGAGACUCCGCCUGCAGCGACUGCUUCACUCCGCAUGGGCCACCAUCCCCAUCUGGAUCACCUUUACUACGGCAUCUUCACUUCUUCCUGUCACCUCUUCUGGACCAGAUUCUACCCUAAAAUGCUUUGCUAAAGCUGGUAAAAUGGAACCAAAUCAACUGUUCAAUGGAUUUGGUCCCCUUCAACCAGCUGUAGCUGUGCAUUGAUCACCCCAAUCCACAUUCAGAGUGACAAGAAAAAAACACCCCUGAAAGACUGGAGUUAAUUAAUCAGAAAACAGCUUUAAAUCUAAAACUGAGGUUAGAUUGGCUUCUUUAUUGGACUAAGAUACAAAGCCAUUCAUGGAUAAUACACAUGAUGCACCAGUUACUGCUUGGAUUUAUCUCAAUCAUUCAGUUUGCCCAAAAGACACUCAAGUAAUUUGCUUAAUCUGAGUAAAACAAGGCAGGUAAGUAAUUAUAGAUACUACAUCUUGUCAAAUUUGUGCUUUUUGAUGUGCGCUGCUGUAAUUGCGUUGUCCUUUGGAGACUUACUUUAUUGUUCUUUCCAGAUUUGUCAAAACGUGUGCUUCUUCUAAAGGGUGGCAUUGCUGAAAACUUUGAGAAAAGAUGCUGUGUACGAAAAGUACUGGUGGAAAUACAUGCAUGUACAGAUGUGUCAAUGACACCAAAGCAAAUGUCUAAUCAAUAAAGCCUAAUCCUAGUGUUUAUGUGAAAUGCCAAAUUGGUCUCUUCUUUCAACGUGUGGACUUUCCAGG
Astatotilapia calliptera (eastern happy) is the source of this 1959-nucleotide long non-coding RNA. Lineage: Eukaryota; Metazoa; Chordata; Actinopteri; Cichliformes; Cichlidae. The record is from Ensembl.